AUACGUAGGGUGCGAGCGUUAUCCGGAUUUAUUGGGUUUAAAGGGAGCGUAGGCGGGAGCUUAAGUCAGCGGUUAAAUGGUGCGGCUCAACCGUGCCCUGCCGUUGAAACUGGGGUUCUUGAGAGUGCAAGAGGCGGAUGGGAUUCAUGGGGUCGCGGGGGAAUGCUUAGAUAUCAUGAAGAACUCCGAUUGCGAAGGCAGUCCGCUGGGGCACGUCUGACGCUGAUGCUCGAAGGUGCGGGAAUCAAACAGGAUUAGAUACCCUGGUAGUCCGCACGGUAAACGAUGAUUACCCGCUGUCGGCGGUAGACAGUCGGCGGCCAAGCGAAAGCGAUAAGUAGUCCACCUGGGGAGUACGCCGGCAACGGUGAAACUCAAAUGAAUUGACGGGG
RNAcentral lists this ribosomal RNA (392 nucleotides) under uncultured bacterium. RNAcentral's name for it is "partial 16S ribosomal RNA". It matches the Rfam family "Bacterial small subunit ribosomal RNA", at positions 523 to 918 of the family's 1533-position model. The record is from RNAcentral.